RNAcentral lists this long non-coding RNA (225 nucleotides) under Elaeis guineensis (African oil palm). RNAcentral describes it as "long non-coding RNA (EGUI_LNC011881)". Lineage: Eukaryota; Viridiplantae; Streptophyta; Magnoliopsida; Arecales; Arecaceae. The record is from RNAcentral.
CUAGAGGUGGCAUUCGCCCUCCUUAUUCCUUUUCAAAAAAUUUGUGCCAAAUAAAAAGAGUUAAGGCAGAAAAAUCAUCCAACUAAUUGGCUUAGUCCAACCUAAAUGAGAUGCCCAAUAUGACCCAAAUAGAUUAGGUUAGGAUGAAGGCUAUUGACUUGAUCUAAACCUUAUCUAAUAAGAAACUAAGUCUAGAGAAAAAUUUGAGUUUAACCAUGUGCUGGC